AAGGAAAAAGAACCGUCACCUGACUAAAGCUAGACGCUUCAGUCCAGAGUUCUCGAACACAGAUCCAGAUGGCAUCCACCUCGCCGGAACCAGCCGCCGCCGCCGCCGAGACCGACGGCUCCGUCCUGAUCCGCCGCCUAGAGAUCGCCGACCGCGAGAGGGGGUUCCUGCCCCUCCUCGCGCAGCUCUCCUCCUGCCCGGACCUCACCGCGUCCGAGUUCGCCGCGUGCUUCGCCGACCUCGCGGCCCUCGGCGACGACCACGUCAUCCUCGUGGCCGAGGACCCCGCCGCGGCCACCGAGCGGAGGAUCCUCUCCACGGGGUGCCUCUUCGUGGAGCGCAAGUUCCUCCGCGGCGGCGGCAAGGUGGGCCACGUGGAGGACGUCGUGGUCGACGCCGCCGCGCGCGGCCGCGGGCUCGGGCUCCGCGUCGUGCGCCGCCUAGUGGAGAUCGCCAAGGAGGCCGGCUGCUACAAGGUCAUCCUGGACUGCACCCCCGAGCUCCGCGCGUACUACGCCAAAUGCGGCUUCGUGGAGAAGGGGGUUCAGAUGGCCGUGUACUUCUGAUCCAUGGGACUUAUGAUUGGGCACACAUAAAUCUUUGACUAAAGCUGGAUAUUGCUUAGGUUCUGGAGAUGGUUGACUUUGCUAGUUUGGCGCCAACUGUUACAAGUCAUUUUGACACCUUCAGCAUGCGGCACACGUCCUAUUAUGGGAUUAAAAUGGCCAGGUGUUGAAGUGCUGUCAAGAAAGCUUUUGUCGACCAUCAGAAGCUGGAAACCGCUGUGCAAGAAAUGUAAUUCGAGCCCGUUGGACGACAAUCUGAUGAUGUUGGAUGAUGGGUGCGAGGAACAGCUGCGGAGCGCCUGAACAUGAACGCACUGCUGGUGGUGGGGGUGGUCUGGGGCCAAUCCCAACGAUUACUGAAAAUGCUCGUUCUAUCUUAAUGUAGCCGAUCCUGUAGUUCUCCUUCCUGGUGUCUUUUCUUUCUUUUAGAUGAUACACUUUUCACUGCGUUUUGAGCUGAGCUCAAUGAACCUGUAAUGAACUACUUGGUUGCAAUUAAUGGAGUAUACUUGCUUA
This is an RNA transcript of Lolium perenne, 1082 nucleotides long. It is a transcript of the gene named probable glucosamine 6-phosphate N-acetyltransferase 2, with no coding region annotated. The record is from RefSeq and is a predicted model, not a curated record. Lineage: Eukaryota; Viridiplantae; Streptophyta; Magnoliopsida; Poales; Poaceae.